GUAAUACUUUAGGGGUGUCUGCGAAAGCAGGCUGAGAAUUACCCUUUGAACCUGAUCUAGUUCAUACUAGCGUAGGGAAAAGUAGAUGACUGACC
Molecule: non-coding RNA, 95 nt
Filed under: Sphingobacterium spiritivorum
Lineage: Bacteria; Pseudomonadati; Bacteroidota; Sphingobacteriia; Sphingobacteriales; Sphingobacteriaceae
Also listed under: 1 other name
Description: TPP sequence
Rfam family: TPP riboswitch aptamer (THI element)
About the family: Vitamin B(1) in its active form thiamin pyrophosphate (TPP) is an essential coenzyme that is synthesised by coupling of pyrimidine and thiazole moieties in bacteria. The previously detected thiamin-regulatory element, thi box was extended, resulting in a new, highly conserved RNA secondary structure, the THI element, which is widely distributed in eubacteria and also occurs in some archaea.
Source: RNAcentral